This 465-nucleotide ribosomal RNA is filed under the name Vreelandella stevensii. RNAcentral describes it as "partial 16S ribosomal RNA". It matches the Rfam family "Bacterial small subunit ribosomal RNA", at positions 338 to 795 of the family's 1533-position model. The record is from RNAcentral. Lineage: Bacteria; Pseudomonadati; Pseudomonadota; Gammaproteobacteria; Oceanospirillales; Halomonadaceae.
CCUACGGGGGGCAGCAGUGGGGAAUAUUGGACAAUGGGGGCAACCCUGAUCCAGCCAUGCCGCGUGUGUGAAGAAGGCCCUCGGGUUGUAAAGCACUUUCAGUGAGGAAGAACGCCUGGUGGUGAAUACCCAUCAGGAAAGACAUCACUCACAGAAGAAGCACCGGCUAACUCCGUGCCAGCAGCCGCGGUAAUACGGAGGGUGCGAGCGUUAAUCGGAAUUACUGGGCGUAAAGCGCGCGUAGGUGGCUUGAUAAGCCGGUUGUGAAAGCCCCGGGCUCAACCUGGGAACGGCAUCCGGAACUGUCAAGCUAGAGUGCAGGCGAGGAAGGUAGAAUUCCCGGUGUAGCGGUGAAAUGCGUAGAGAUCGGGAGGAAUACCAGUGGCGAAGGCGGCCUUCUGGACUGACACUGACACUGAGGUGCGAAAGCGUGGGUAGCAAACAGGAUUAGAUACCCCUGUAGUC